CGCUAAGAAGCUAAACCGGGCCCACAGCGUUAGCCUUUUAAGCUAAAGAAUGGUGCUUCCCAACCACCCUUAGCGG
RNAcentral lists this transfer RNA (76 nucleotides) under Parioglossus formosus (beautiful hover goby). Its description in RNAcentral is "tRNA-Lys". It matches the Rfam family "tRNA". From Rfam's summary of the family: Transfer RNA (tRNA) molecules are approximately 80 nucleotides in length. Their secondary structure includes four short double-helical elements and three loops (D, anti-codon, and T loops). Further hydrogen bonds mediate the characteristic L-shaped molecular structure. tRNAs have two regions of fundamental functional importance: the anti-codon, which is responsible for specific mRNA codon recognition, and the 3' end, to which the tRNAs corresponding amino acid is attached (by aminoacyl-tRNA synthetases). tRNAs cope with the degeneracy of the genetic code in two manners: having more than one tRNA (with a specific anti-codon) for a particular amino acid; and 'wobble' base-pairing, i.e. permitting non-standard base-pairing at the 3rd anti-codon position. Lineage: Eukaryota; Metazoa; Chordata; Actinopteri; Gobiiformes; Gobiidae. RNAcentral also lists the same sequence under 1 other name. The record is from RNAcentral.